AAAGAGCUCGCUUUUCAUACACAGCAAGAUUUUCAUUAACUCAUGGCUCUGUCAGAAAAUGAACUCACUGUUCUACUAAGCUUGUUGCAGGAUGAGCAACUAGAAAAGCGAACUUUCGAAUACCUAGGCCAGGCACUUCAGCACAAUUUCGCCAAACAAGGCCACUUCUGUGUCAGCUGUGACUUGAAUCCUCCUGAAGAAACUGGUGGAAAGAAGCCAGAGUUU
This 225-nucleotide long non-coding RNA is filed under the name Rhipicephalus microplus (southern cattle tick). Its description in RNAcentral is "uncharacterized LOC119175446, transcript variant X2". Lineage: Eukaryota; Metazoa; Arthropoda; Arachnida; Ixodida; Ixodidae. The record is from RNAcentral.